RNAcentral lists this ribosomal RNA (371 nucleotides) under uncultured organism. RNAcentral's name for it is "bacterial SSU rRNA". It matches the Rfam family "Bacterial small subunit ribosomal RNA", at positions 526 to 896 of the family's 1533-position model. The record is from RNAcentral.
CAGAGGGUGCAAGCGUUAAUCGGAAUUACUGGGCGUAAAGCGUGCGUAGACGGUUAUGUAAGUCGGAUGUGAAGGCCCCGGGCUCAACCUGGGAAUGGCAUUCGAAACUGCAUAGCUAGGGUGCGGAAGAGGGAAGCGGAAUUUCGGGUGUAGCGGUGAAAUGCGUAGAUAUCCGAAGGAACAUCAGUGGCGAAAGCGGCUUCCUGGUCCAGCACCGACGUUCAGGCACGAAAGCGUGGGGAGCAAACAGGAUUAGAUACCCUGGUAGUCCACGCCAUAAACGAUGACAACUAGACGUUGAGAGGGUAAGCCUCCCAGUGUCGCAGCUAACGCGUUAAGUUGUCCGCCUGGGGAGUACGGCCGCAAGGUUG